UUGUUGUUGUUAUGAUUUGGACGAUUUUGUAGAUCAGUAUUCCGGUUGCUGACCGUCGUCUGCGAAUGCUAAUGUCACCAUGGGAAUAUACAUCAAAUUACAGGGAACAGUCAGCCGGCAAAUGGGUGUAAAUUUCAGGCAGACCACCAGGCAUUUUGAGAGUUGCUACUUAAGGCCUUCAACAAGAUCAAGGAGAGCAUCUUCACACAGAUCCAUCCGUCUUAUCUGACUUGUAAUGCUUCGGAGAGACUGAGACUGAGAGAGUACAAUGGACUCACCAAACCUUAACUUGUGAAAGAUGGACCUGGAAACCGAGAUAUGAAAGACACUUUGCCUGAGUGGAUGCAUCAGAAUGGACUUCACUCAACCUCUGGGCGCUCUUUGGAUCCUCGGUGACAUCUUCAUUGGAAAAUACUAUUCCAAGUUUGAUUGAGUGCAGGUUUUGCUGAUGCUGUCAAGGGUGUGGAAAAUAAGGCUGAGUAAGAAACCUACUUUGUAAUUUGGAAAGAAUACUAUUUUCGAGUAAGGAUGAACAAAAAUAAAAUCAUGUCUUCAAUAUAUCAGAAUAUUAAUGGAAAAAUGUUUACUUACCCUUUUUCAGUGUAAUGUGAAACAAAACUUUAUUUUUGUAUAGCCCACCUUUUUUUUUUAAACAAAAUGUUGCCCACCCAAAUUCAGUGUAACAUUAUUAUGUUUGUUUGGCCCAAAGUAUCAAAUUAGUGUAAUGUGGAAAGUAGACUACCUGUUUGUUUGGUCCAACUGUGAAAAAGAAAUCAUGUAGGUUUUGCUGAUGCUGUCAAGGGUGUAGAAAUCAAGGCUACUUUGUGAAUUGGAAGGAAUCGAAUUUUGGAUGUUGGGAAAACUGUAUAGUUGGGCCAAACAAAAAUAUAA
Asterias rubens (European starfish) is the source of this 891-nucleotide long non-coding RNA. RefSeq lists it as uncharacterized. Lineage: Eukaryota; Metazoa; Echinodermata; Asteroidea; Forcipulatida; Asteriidae. The record is from RefSeq and is a predicted model, not a curated record. The transcript is spliced from 3 exons.